AGUGAACGCUGGCGGUAGGCCUAACACAUGCGAGUCGAACGGCAGCACAGUAAGAGCUUGCUCUUACGGGUGGCGAGUGGCGGACGGGUGAGGAAUACAUCGGAAUCUACUUUUUCGUGGGGGAUAACGUAGGGAAACUUACGCUAAUACCGCAUACGACCUACGGGUGAAAGCAGGGGAUCUUCGGACCUUGCGCGAUUGAAUGAGCCGAUGUCGGAUUAGCUAGUUGGCGGGGUAAAGGCCCACCAAGGCGACGAUCCGUAGCUGGUCUGAGAGGAUGAUCAGCCACACUGGAACUGAGCCACGGUCCAGACUCCUACGGGAGGCAGCAGUGGGGACUAUUGGACAAUGGGCGCAAGCCUGAUCCAGCCAUACCGCGUGGGUGAAGAAGGCCUUCGGGUUGUAAAACCCUUUUGUUGAGAAAGAAAAGCAGCAGGUUAAUACCCCGCUGUUCUGACGGUACCCAAAGAAUAAGCACCGGCUAACUUCGUG
RNAcentral lists this ribosomal RNA (492 nucleotides) under uncultured bacterium. Its description in RNAcentral is "partial 16S ribosomal RNA". It matches the Rfam family "Bacterial small subunit ribosomal RNA", at positions 29 to 507 of the family's 1533-position model. The record is from RNAcentral.